UUUCCCCAUCUUUGAAGAGGGUGCUGGGAGGUGUUUGCAAGGGUUUGGGUUUUUUUUUUAAAGUCUUUUUUUUUUUCCUCCCCUUUUGCUAAAUAAAUUAAAAGCAGAGAGAUUUCCUGAUGGAGAUGGAUGAGGCUGGGCUCGCAGCAAUGGGGUUGCUCGCUCGCACGCACUGCUGCAGCCUUGAUCUGGCGUAGCGAGGGUACCGAUGGCAGAAGUGACCUUUCCCAGGCAGUGGGAGGGAGGCUUUUCCCCCCGCCCUGACAUGCUCCCGCUUGGAAUUCAUUUUAAAUAGCAGGGCUAUUAUUUUUUAUUUUCUUUCCCCCUUCCCCUUAAAGAACAGCUUGCUCUUUCAGUGAUUUUUUUUUUUUUCUUGGCAGCCUGUGGGUUGAAGCUUCCUCAUGAUCUUUUUUUUUUUGUGUGUGUGUGUGUGUUUUGAAUUGUGGUUUAAAAUUGCCCAGCUGGAGACAAGUCUUGAUUAGAGCUGGAACAAUAGCUCCAUUUUAUUAAUAAUGGGAAGGAUUUACAAUCCUACAGCACCUUCCUUGGAAGGCUUUCAAAAUAAUUUGCAAACACUCACAAAUUUAAGAUUUCACAUCCCUUGUCUGUGAGGUGGGGAAAUACAGGAUUGUUUGUGUAACCCCUCUCCAUAGCAGAUACCUUCUUUGGAUAUGUUGGUUUGGAGAUAUGCCUCGUGCUCAUCAGAGGCCUUUGCUGGCAUAGACAUACGGUGGACGAAGAAGCUGGCUGUUUGGGACGUUUCCAUGUUUUUCAGCCUGGAAGACUGAAGUCCUCUCUGUCUAGCUGGUGAAAUGCCCCGUGUUUGGGAAGAACCCUUGUGAGGAUCCAGAACCAGGCUUCGUGUUCAAAACGUUAUCAACGUGUGAGCCAAUAUCCUCUGUCUUGGCAACAGAUGAGCCCAAAUAUCAAACAGCACCAAUUCCUUCUUGGAGAAAAUUAUCCGUUGCAUAAAACAUAAUGGUCCCAGCGACACGUGGCAGCGAGCUCCACCACUUGGAGUCGAUGGCUUUGUUUGCGAUCCGUGGGUGGCCCUCCCGGCCAGCCUGCCUGCAAGAUGGCCGCGUGACAGCAAUGACCCCGCGUGAGGUUUCUUUGAAGGACCCGGGAGCCGGCGUGGUUUUCUCAUGUCCCUCGGAGGUGCCACCCUAGCAGGGAGGGAGGGGAAGAACGGCUGGAAGUGCUGUCGCAGCGAGCACGCUCGAUCGGAGAGGGGAGAGUUCGGCAUCGAAAAGCCGUUCGAUACGUUGGGUUUCUUCCUCUCCAAAAUGGAUGCCUGUAGAGCCCGUUAAAGGUAUAGACACGUAGCGACUGCUCUUUGGGCUUCUGACCAGUUAAACCAGAAAGCUAAGCCCAUUUCCACGGAGAGGAAAGUGCUGGUGGAGCGCAUUGGCGGUGCGUUUUCUCGUGCGCAAGUGGCUCCAUCACGUGUUUUAAAUAAUAAGACGUUUUGCGUGC
Long non-coding RNA from Pygoscelis adeliae (Adelie penguin), 1476 nucleotides. RefSeq lists it as uncharacterized. Lineage: Eukaryota; Metazoa; Chordata; Aves; Sphenisciformes; Spheniscidae. The record is from RefSeq and is a predicted model, not a curated record. The transcript has 7 exons.